Molecule: non-coding RNA, 173 nt
Filed under: Candidatus Burkholderia verschuerenii
Lineage: Bacteria; Pseudomonadati; Pseudomonadota; Betaproteobacteria; Burkholderiales; Burkholderiaceae
Description: Burkholderia RNA 14
Rfam family: Burkholderia RNA 14
About the family: Co-purified with Hfq, expression confirmed by Northern blot.
Source: Rfam by way of RNAcentral
GUGGGCAUCGUCACUGUCCAGCCGCAGUCCGUUCCGGUCGUCGCCGAAUUGCCGGGCCGCACCAGUGCCUUCCUGGUCGCGCAAGUGCGCGCGCGGGUCGAUGGCAUCGUGCUGUGCCGCGAGUUCACGGAAGGCGAUGACGUCAAACAGGGCCAACGCCUCUACAAGAUCGA